This 274-nucleotide ribosomal RNA is filed under the name uncultured bacterium. RNAcentral describes it as "partial 16S ribosomal RNA". It matches the Rfam family "Bacterial small subunit ribosomal RNA", at positions 523 to 796 of the family's 1533-position model. The record is from RNAcentral.
AUACGGAGGGUGCAAGCGUUAAUCGGAAUUACGGGGCGUAAAGCGUACGUAGGCGGUUAUUUAAGUCAGAUGUGAAAGCCCCGGGCUUAACUUGGGAACUGCAUUUGAAACUGGGUAACUAGAGUUUAGUAGAGGGGAGUGGAAUUUCAGGUGUAGCGGUGAAAUGCGUAGAGAUCUGAAGGAACACCAGUGGCGAAGGCGCCUCCCUGGACUAAAACUGACGCUGAGGUACGAAAGCGUGGGUAGCAAACAGGAUUAGAAACCCCAGUAGUCC